This 84-nucleotide ribosomal RNA is filed under the name Escherichia coli B83. The record is from RNAcentral. Lineage: Bacteria; Pseudomonadati; Pseudomonadota; Gammaproteobacteria; Enterobacterales; Enterobacteriaceae. RNAcentral also lists the same sequence under 3 other names.
CCCAUGCCGAACUCAGAAGUGAAACGCCGUAGCGCCGAUGGUAGUGUGGGGUCUCCCCAUGCGAGAGUAGGGAACUGCCAGGCA